RNAcentral lists this long non-coding RNA (3212 nucleotides) under Actinia tenebrosa (Australian red waratah sea anemone). Its description in RNAcentral is "uncharacterized LOC116293236". The record is from RNAcentral. Lineage: Eukaryota; Metazoa; Cnidaria; Anthozoa; Actiniaria; Actiniidae.
GUUAACUUAUGGUCGUUUAGCACUGACACUAAUCAGUACAAUGACUAUAGCUCAUACCGAUUAGAAUCCUACCAGGAUCUAUUUGCGCUGAGUACUCAAAAGACUAGCUUUGACUGAACCCAAAGAUUAUUUGUAUCUUAAUAAUUUCGUGGUAUAUUUGAAUAGAAUCGUAAGAGAAAUUCAGACACCACCAAGGCCAUUGACAUUCGGCUAGUGUUUUCAAAACACCUAUUCAACUUAUAAUAUUUACAUAUUUUAACAUGAGGGAGUGAGAUCUAUUGUGAAAGGAUCCUUGGUACCAGCUUAAAAACGGUUAACUGACCUUGGCACUUGACAGAUUUACUGAUCACCAUCAUUAAGGAAAAAAAUGGAAUAUGUGUUAAUAGGAAUAAAUCAGCGUGACAGGGUUGUACGUCUGGCAACUCUGUGUGAGUUAUAGUGUCCAAGAGGUCAAGAUCAAGUGCAUUGGUGCUCCAAUAUCCAUCAACAGCAGGUGGAACCACGAUUCAAAAACCUCCUCCUUUUAACACAGAUAAAGUUAUCUUGUGUCUGUUGCCCUUUUCUGUCAAUUGCAUAUUUCUCAAGCCUAGCUGAAACACAAAACCUUUCGGCUGAAUUGAAUUAGUAGUGAGAGUGAGAAGAGGCCUUUAAUCAGUACCUAAACCACUCCGCCACAUCUUCUAGUUGUUUCGGCAGGUAAACUUGGUAACUGGUAAUCCAUUUAGCAACCAAAUCAGUAGGCAGUGGUGCAUGCCAUAAAAAGCUAUGAUUAUUGAAUGGUGAUGCCAUAUAGAUGAAGUUUAUGGCAUAUGAAAACGAAACUGCUGAAUAGCGAUAAUUCAGGCUCUGGAUAGUUGGUAAAACAGAGCGACUGGAACCAAACUAAAUAUCUGGAUCGAAUUACCCUGCGAGCAGAGGUUUUUUCUGACCCUCCGUGGAGCUCCCCGACAGCCAGCUCCACGGAGGGUCAGAAAAAAACCUCUGCUCGCAGGGUAGGAUCGAAUAACCCGCGGGAAUUUAACACUAGGACUUAAAAACUGUUCAGUUAGUAGGGGGAAAAAACAGUAGAUCUUUAUCAAAAUUCAAGCUGAAUUACUGAAAACACGAACAGCCAUUUCUUCUCAACCCAGAACAAAAAAUUUAAACUCCUACGAAGUGGACUACAAGAUUGUGUUGCAUAGUUAACAUUACUUCUUCACUUAAAAGCUUGUAGUAUUUAUUUGUCACAACUAACCUUCCUAUAUUCGAGCUCCACAGAGCUCUGCUUAAUAAUGUAUUCAUUUGGACUAAUAUUUCUCCAGCAUCUGUCUGGACGUGCCAGGAAAAACGCAUGCGCGAAUCAAACAUUACUCCGACACUGAAGUUCCCAGGACACACUGCAUGUCGGAGUCUUUCCCAUGAGGGCUAAUUUUCUAUUGCAGGUUUUUUUAUUCGUCUAUAACACUAUUUUUCCCGAGCGAAUGUGGGCGUGGGUUGAAUAUUAAUAUAUAUUAUAUUUCUAUCUUAUCAUGCACUUUGCAGUCUAUUGAAAUAUUCUACCACCUACCCAUGCGGUCAUGAUGCAAUUAAUUCUGCUACAGCUAUAAUGGUUCUGUGAAUUUACAUACAGUAUACAUGAGACAGUAUAGAUGCUCCAGAUGAUUUAUCCUACCACCCCAAGGCUAUUUGAUAGUACUAUCGCUGGAAAAGGAAUACUUAUGUACCAACAAAUAUGUUGGUGCGAUCACGGAGGGUAAAAUGUCCUUUGGAUUAUAACUAUAUCUGAUUUCUUACAUCGUUCCCUCUAGCUACGUCCACUGACCUUAACUCAAUGAAUUUCCAUUAAAGUUAGUAGAUGAUAGCGCGACUGAAUUUGCAGACAAAUCGUUUAAGUUUUGUCCUUAGUGACAGAGACUCUUAGCGACUUAUUUUGCUGACACCACUAACGAGAGUUAGUUUGAGAGAAGAGUUUUUGAGUUUGUCGAUUCAACAGCGCAAUCAACAAUCAGUUGUUUUCUAAAAAACGUUUGAGAGCAGAGAGUGUUGUUCAAUCAAAAACUGCUGACAUAUUCAUUCACUAUUUCUUAAACAAUUAAAAAUGUCUUUGUGACGUCAUCUUUAAGUGUCUAGCCUAGCGCCUUGAGCAAAAUUUUACAAAAUUUUAUUAUCGUGUAAAGAUUAUCGUGUGUAGUCACUGCCUUCAUAUUAAUGUCCAAGUUUUCAUUAUAGUGGUUAAUAUCGAUGCUUAUCAAUCAUAAAUAUUUGCUUGUUUAUAGUUGAAUAGGUAUAUGGUAAAUGACUUGUUAAGUGAAGCAUUUAUAAUUACUAUUUAGCAAUUAGUCCUCGAGCUCGAAUGGGCUUUUGACUCACAGGCCAUGAGGGUGAGAAGGCUAAUAUUGUUUUAGUCAAGUCCAACUAGUUGGUCAAAUAUAUAUGCAAAAAAGUUUUGAAUUAAAGUUAGCUUUAAUGCUUUGGUUUUCAAAGCUGGUACUUCAUUGCUACUUGUAGGCUAUAACUUAUAGCCUAGUAGUAAUUCAUCCAAUCAGAAUGCAGCAUUGAUGAUAGACUACUAGUUAGAUUUUACUAGAGUACACGCACUAAAUCCGUGAACAUUAAUUAGUACUAAUUAGUACUAUUUCAUACAGAAUCCUUUGUUUUCUAUUGUUUAUUUAUCACCAUUUAGUACUAAAAGUUAGUAUUUGUUUCACGGGUUUAGUGUGUGCACACUAAAUAUCAAAUAGCCCAUAACAUGUAAAUUUCGUUCAUACCAAAUGAUAGAUUAGCACUUUAUAACACAUAAUAGGAAUGACACGUGGACUGAAAUGGUGAGGAAAAAAUUUACCCCAGUUUAACUCGGUGUGUGAUUCCUUUAGCUUCAUGGAAGCCCAUGUUAUAUGACCACUUUAUACCUGUCCUCCCUCCAUUAUAUUCAAACAAUCCUUUGUAAUAUAGUAACGCAAGCCAACGCAAGCAUGAGCACAAGCGCAAGUCAACGCAAGAAAAACAAAAUCUUUUUCUUGCGUUUCUACGUUUGCUCUUGCGUCGCGUCUUUGACACUGAACACAUGGAGUUGCGUCGGCUUGCGUUGAUUGCUAGAGAAAACAACGCUUUAAACUACACGCAUUAAAAAUUAAAGAAUUCUUUGGAAUUAAAGCUGUGUCCAAUGGUCUGGGGAAGAACAGUGAACAUAUUUUUUGAUGAAAAUGCAAUUACAAAGAUACUAUAUUCCUGUA